Long non-coding RNA from Mus pahari (shrew mouse), 1078 nucleotides. RefSeq lists it as uncharacterized. The transcript is spliced from 3 exons. The record is from RefSeq and is a predicted model, not a curated record. Lineage: Eukaryota; Metazoa; Chordata; Mammalia; Rodentia; Muridae.
CCAGUUUGAAAGAAGCCCUCACCGAUGUCCGCGCAGAUACUGCCAGGCACACAGCUCCGUGGUGCCAGAAGAGACAUCUUAAGCUGGAAGCGGCUCACAGUAAUUGGUGCUUUCUAGGCUGCUGCCUCGCUGGAGAGCAGAGGCGAGGCAGAAGGGAUGCGUCCUCCUCUGCAUGCAGUGAUUGCCGGCCCAAAAUAGCCUUGCACCUGCUCUGAGCUGCCUGCGAGAUAAUUUCAGCUUCCAAGGAGACUACCCUGAUUGGUGUUGAUUUCUUAUGAUCUCCCCUCUGGCACACACCUGCAGAAAAACACCUGAUCAUAGAGGCACACCCUGGAGAGCCAGGUCACCGAGCGAGCCUGCCCGAAGAGGACCAGCCCUGUUCACAGAGUUUCAUCUGCCCCAAGAAGAAGCUAUCAGAACAAGAAGCCAAACCCAAUGGCCUGCAGGGCUGAUACCAAGUCUGAACUGGGAUGGAGGCUUACCAUUGCUACUUUGGACACGGAAGGCCUCGAGCAGAUCAUACACAGGCUCCACCUGCAAAUCUCACCUUCUGGAUCUGAUGAGAAGAUUAAUGUUCUGCGUUUCCCUAAGUCAACAUGAAAUGCCACGGGAAAUGCCUUUUCUGUGCUAUUGACGUGUAAACUCCCUCAGUAGAGCUGGCCUGUUAUCAUCUGGCCUGCUGACUCCCAAUAGCCUCCUGUUUUUUUUCUGUAUUAACUGCUGGCUGAUGUGCUUAGGUUUUCAAUACCUACCCAAUCCAUUAUGGAUACAUGGCCAGCAAGUAUCCAUAAUCUUGCCCAGGCCAGCCAGAGACAACUCUGAGCAAAUUUUAAAAUGUGGGCUGACCUUUCACUUCUAUGACUUGAACCCUGGCCAUAUCCUCUGUCCUUCUGAAUUAUUGGUGGUGGUCCACAUAGGCCAAGCCUUCCUCAUUACUAUGAACUGACACACACCUUAACAGUAUGGAAUGCACUCGGUCUAAGAGAACGAUGUGACCAGCAUGGUGUAUAUAUCAUCUACAUCCCUGAAAACAGCUUAAGUCCAAAUUGUAAACCCCCUUCAGUUGUCCCUCCACUAG